This 421-nucleotide ribosomal RNA is filed under the name uncultured Micromonosporaceae bacterium. RNAcentral describes it as "partial 16S ribosomal RNA". It matches the Rfam family "Bacterial small subunit ribosomal RNA", at positions 355 to 774 of the family's 1533-position model. Lineage: Bacteria; Bacillati; Actinomycetota; Actinomycetes; Micromonosporales; Micromonosporaceae. The record is from RNAcentral. RNAcentral also lists the same sequence under 1 other name.
UGGGGAAUAUUGCACAAUGGGCGGAAGCCUGAUGCAGCGACGCCGCGUGAGGGAUGACGGCCUUCGGGUUGUAAACCUCUUUCAGCAGGGACGAAGCGGCUGAGUUUUCUCAGCCAUGACGGUACCUGCAGAAGAAGCGCCGGCCAACUACGUGCCAGCAGCCGCGGUAAGACGUAGGGCGCGAGCGUUGUCCGGAUUUAUUGGGCGUAAAGAGCUCGUAGGCGGCUUGUCGCGUCGUCCGUGAAAACCCACAGCUCAACUGUGGGCUUGCGGUCGAUACGGGCAGGCUAGAGUUCGGUAGGGGAGACUGGAAUUCCUGGUGUAGCGGUGAAAUGCGCAGAUAUCAGGAGGAACACCGGUGGCGAAGGCGGGUCUCUGGGCCGAUACUGACGCUGAGGAGCGAAAGCGUGGGGAGCGAACA